Molecule: long non-coding RNA, 372 nt
Organism: Lates calcarifer (barramundi perch)
Lineage: Eukaryota; Metazoa; Chordata; Actinopteri; Centropomidae
Exons: 3
Source: RefSeq, a predicted model, not a curated record
GGCUAAUUACAAACACCUCCUUCCGCUUGAACAACUGACGCCGGAACCAACAAAACAGGACUGAAAGAUUUGUCUUUUAGCACCUUGAGAGACCUUGACUUCCACCCUGGCAAUCACUGCUGUAGUUUAUUACACUGGAGGCCCCUGGAUCCAAGUUGCAGAUGACUCAUGAAGAGGACAUGAAUAUACAGACAACAAAUGAAGCACAGAUAUGACUGACCACACCGAGGGAUCUCCCCUGCAGUUGCUCUUCCUCAGGUCUAAAUAUGACUCGACAUCAUCAGUCUAAUUGAUGCAACUGAGCAAAUUAGUUCUUGUUUACUGAGACCUGUACCUCGUCCUGAUUUGAUUUUAAAGUAAAGCCAGAAAUGA